CGAACCUGCCUUUCAGGCAUCCUCUCCCAAAACUUUCCGACCCGGCGGGCAACUGCCGGGUCUUUUUUUGCUCUGGU
Novosphingobium sp. B1 is the source of this 77-nucleotide non-coding RNA. NCBI's taxonomy places the organism in Bacteria, Pseudomonadati, Pseudomonadota, Alphaproteobacteria, Sphingomonadales, Sphingomonadaceae. The record is from Rfam.